CACUCCUGCGGGAGGCAGCAGUGGGGAAUAUUGGACAAUGGGCGCAAGCCUGAUCCAGCCAUGCCGCGUGAGUGAUGAAGGCCCUAGGGUUGUAAAGCUCUUUCACCGGUGAAGAUAAUGACGGUAACCGGAGAAGAAGCCCCGGCUAACUUCGUGCCAGCAGCCGCGGUAAUACGAAGGGGGCUAGCGUUGUUCGGAUUUACUGGGCGUAAAGCGCACGUAGGCGGACUAUUAAGUCAGGGGUGAUAUCCCGGGGCUCAACCCCGGAACUGCCUUUGAUACUGGUAGUCUUGAGUUCGAGAGAGGUGAGUGGAAUUCCGAGUGUAGAGGUGAAAUUCGUAGAUAUUCGGAGGAACACCAGUGGCGAAGGCGGCUCACUGGCUCGAUACUGACGCUGAGGUGCGAAAGCGUGGGGAGCAAACAGGAUUAGAAACCCCUGUAGUCCCAUG
This 449-nucleotide ribosomal RNA is filed under the name uncultured organism. RNAcentral's name for it is "partial 16S ribosomal RNA". It matches the Rfam family "Bacterial small subunit ribosomal RNA", at positions 334 to 799 of the family's 1533-position model. The record is from RNAcentral.